This 254-nucleotide ribosomal RNA is filed under the name uncultured bacterium. RNAcentral's name for it is "partial 16S ribosomal RNA". It matches the Rfam family "Bacterial small subunit ribosomal RNA", at positions 524 to 776 of the family's 1533-position model. The record is from RNAcentral.
UACGGAGGGUGCAAGCGUUUAUCCGGAUUUACUGGGUUUAAAGGGAGCGUAGGUGGGUCGGUAAGUCAGUGGUGAAAUCUUCGAGCUUAACUCGGAAACUGCCAUUGAUACUAUCGAUCUUGAAUUAUCUGGAGGUAAGCGGAAUAUGUCAUGUAGCGGUGAAAUGCUUAGAUAUGACAUAGAACACCCAUUGCGAAGGCAGCUUACUACGGAUAUAUUGACACUGAGGCUCGAAAGCGUGGGGAUCAAACAGG